UGGGGAAUAUUGCACAAUGGGCGCAAGCCUGAUGCAGCCAUGCCGCGUGUGUGAAGAAGGCCUUCGGGUUGUAAAGCACUUUCAGCGAGGAGGAAGGUGGUGAGCUUAAUACGCUCAUCAAUUGACGUUACUCGCAGAAGAAGCACCGGCUAACUCCGUGCCAGCAGCCGCGGUAAUACGGAGGGUGCAAGCGUUAAUCGGAAUUACUGGGCGUAAAGCGCACGCAGGCGGUUUGUUAAGUCAGAUGUGAAAUCCCCGGGCUCAACCUGGGAACUGCAUUUGAAACUGGCAAGCUAGAGUCUCGUAGAGGGGGGUAGAAUUUCCAGGUGUAGCGGUGAAAUGCGUAGAGAUCUGGAGGAAUACCGGUGGCGAAGGCGGCCCCCUGGACGAAGACUGACGCUCAGGUGCGAAAGCGUGGGGGCAGCAAACAGGAUUAGAUACCCCUGGUAGUCCACGCUGUAAACGAUGUCGAUUUGGAGGUUGUGCCCCUUGAGGCGUGG
Molecule: ribosomal RNA, 500 nt
Filed under: uncultured bacterium
Lineage: Bacteria
Description: partial 16S ribosomal RNA
Rfam family: Bacterial small subunit ribosomal RNA
Source: RNAcentral